AUGCAGGAGGGGUUUGUGAAAGGGGUACUCUCAGGGUAUAAUAAUUGUGAAGUCAAUAUGCUGCAAUAUGCAGAUGAUACAAUUUUCCUGCUACAAGAUGAUGAGGAAAGUGCAAAGAAUUUGAAAUUCAUUUUAACAGCUUCUAAACAAAUGUCUGCACUGACCAUUAACUUUCAUAAGAGUGAAAUUUUCUUAUUUGGAGAGGCUGUAAAUAAGACUGAUAUAUAUCAAGAGAUCUUUACAUGUGAGGUGGGAAAGAUGCCCAUUAAAUAUCUAGGACUACCGGUGGCUGAUAUUAGACUAGGAAACAAAUUCUGGAAGGGAGUUACAGAAAAAACUGAGAAAAGAUGUGCAUGUUGGUAA
This 363-nucleotide ribosomal RNA is filed under the name Triticum aestivum (bread wheat). Its description in RNAcentral is "partial small subunit ribosomal RNA". Lineage: Eukaryota; Viridiplantae; Streptophyta; Magnoliopsida; Poales; Poaceae. The record is from RNAcentral.